RNAcentral lists this ribosomal RNA (1372 nucleotides) under uncultured bacterium. RNAcentral's name for it is "bacterial SSU rRNA". It matches the Rfam family "Bacterial small subunit ribosomal RNA", at positions 28 to 1381 of the family's 1533-position model. The record is from RNAcentral.
GAUGAACGCUGGCGGCGUGCCUAAUACAUGCAAGUCGAGCGAACAGACGAGGAGCUUGCUCCUUUGACGUUAGCGGCGGACGGGUGAGUAACACGUGGGUAACCUACCUAUAAGACUGGGAUAACUUCGGGAAACCGAAGCUAAUACCGGAUAAUAUUUCGAACCGCAUGGUUCGAUAGUGAAAGAUGGCUUUGCUAUCACUUAUAGAUGGACCUGCGCCGUAUUAGCUAGUUGGUAAGGUAACGGCUUACCAAGGCAACGAUACGUAGCCGACCUGAGAGGGUGAUCGGCCACACUGGAACUGAGACACGGUCCAGACUCCUACGGGAGGCAGCAGUAGGGAAUCUUCCGCAAUGGGCGAAAGCCUGACGGAGCAACGCCGCGUGAGUGAUGAAGGUCUUCGGAUCGUAAAACUCUGUUAGUAGGGAAGAACAAACGUGUAAGUAACUGUGCACGUCUUGACGGUACCUAAUCAGAAAGCCACGGCUAACUACGUGCCAGCAGCCGCGGUAAUACGUAGGUGGCAAGCGUUAUCCGGAAUUAUUGGGCGUAAAGCGCGCGUAGGCGGUUUUUUAAGUCUGAUGUGAAAGCCCACGGCUCAACCGUGGAGGGUCAUUGGAAACUGGAAAACUUGAGUGCAGAAGAGGAAAGUGGAAUUCCAUGUGUAGCGGUGAAAUGCGCAGAGAUAUGGAGGAACACCAGUGGCGAAGGCGACUUUCUGGUCUGUAACUGACGCUGAUGUGCGAAAGCGUGGGGAUCAAACAGGAUUAGAUACCCUGGUAGUCCACGCCGUAAACGAUGAGUGCUAAGUGUUAGGGGGUUUCCGCCCCUUAGUGCUGCAGCUAACGCAUUAAGCACUCCGCCUGGGGAGUACGACCGCAAGGUUGAAACCCAAAGGAAUUGACGGGGACCCGCACAAGCGGUGGAGCAUGUGGUUUAAUUCGAAGCAACGCGAAGAACCUUACCAAAUCUUGACAUCCUUUGACCCUUCUAGAGAUAGAAGUUUCCCCUUCGGGGGACAAAGUGACAGGUGGUGCAUGGUUGUCGUCAGCUCGUGUCGUGAGAUGUUGGGUUAAGUCCCGCAACGAGCGCAACCCUUAAGCUUAGUUGCCAUCAUUAAGUUGGGCACUCUAAGUUGACUGCCGGUGACAAACCGGAGGAAGGUGGGGAUGACGUCAAAUCAUCAUGCCCCUUAUGAUUUGGGCUACACACGUGCUACAAUGGACAAUACAAAGGGCAGCGAAACCGCGAGGUCAAGCAAAUCCCAUAAAGUUGUUCUCAGUUCGGAUUGUAGUCUGCAACUCGACUACAUGAAGCUGGAAUCGCUAGUAAUCGUAGAUCAGCAUGCUACGGUGAAUACGUUCCCGGGUCU